UGCCAGCCGCCGCGGUAAUACGGAGGGGGUUAGCGUUGUUCGGAAUUACUGGGCGUAAAGCGCACGUAGGCGGACUAAUCAGUCAGGGGUGAAAUCCCGGGGCUCAACCCCGGAACUGCCUUUGAUACUGUUAGUCUUGAGUUCGAGAGAGGUGAGUGGAAUUCCAAGUGUAGAGGUGAAAUUCGUAGAUAUUUGGAGGAACACCAGUGGCGAAGGCGACUCACUGGCUCGAUACUGACGCUGAGGUGCGAAAGUGUGGGGAGCAAACAGGAUUAGAUA
RNAcentral lists this ribosomal RNA (279 nucleotides) under uncultured bacterium. Its description in RNAcentral is "partial 16S ribosomal RNA". It matches the Rfam family "Bacterial small subunit ribosomal RNA", at positions 506 to 784 of the family's 1533-position model. The record is from RNAcentral.